This is a long non-coding RNA of Vidua chalybeata, 650 nucleotides long. RefSeq lists it as uncharacterized. The record is from RefSeq and is a predicted model, not a curated record. The transcript has 3 exons. NCBI's taxonomy places the organism in Eukaryota, Metazoa, Chordata, Aves, Passeriformes, Viduidae.
GAACCCCCUCAGCCACAACACUCUGUCAUCAAUCUGGGCUGUAGUUCAAGGUAUAUCUGUUUGACCAAAAAAAAAAAUACCGUGUUUAGUGUUGGGAGCUCUCCCUGGGAGCUUGCUCUCUGUGUGAGGCCAUGACAGCUCCAUCCCACCUCACCCCUUAACCCUGGAGUCCUUCUGGGAAAGGCAUUUUCCAGAUGAACAGCAUUUUCAACAGCUGGAUGAGAAAUUCACCCAUGCACUCUUCAGGAUAAAUUCUGUCUUUCCAGUGGUUGUUACCCCAGCUGAGUGGACUGCAUGGAGAGAGCUGUCUGACCUGGUUGACACCACCGAAGUGCAAGGACUGGCAUUGCUGACAAUGAAAUGAAGUUUUCCAGCUCUUGACUCUAGAGAGAAUAUGGUGAAAGGAAGAUCAGGGCAGUCUGCGCUCAUCAGAAUUUUUGGGGGACUUCUGCAAGUGCAGCAUAUGAUUCAAAGCUCUGCAGCCAUCCAUCCCUACCAGCCAACAGCAAGUUCCUGCUCUUGUCAGAGUUAAAGGCAUGUUUUCCUUUGAACUUGGUUGGAACAAGAACUGGCCCAAUGUGGAGCUGUGGGAAAUAAUUGACCGCAGAAGCAUUUACUUCAUUAAUCUCUGAGUUGAUUUGAACCAAAUU